UCGCCCGCCCCUUCCUUCCGAUCUAGCUCCCACAUUGCCCGCCCAACUCUAGACUACGCUGAGUGACAGAAACCAAAAUCCGGCACACAAGGAAGGCCCGCGUAAGAAACGACGCCCCACCCUGCCAAGAGGAGCGGCUCAUUUAGAAAAACUUGGCGGCAAGUUAACCGGAAGCGCGGAGACACAUUUCUUAGAUCUUUUGAAGUACUCCCGAGCCCAGUAAUCUCAUCUUUUGUCCUUUGACAGGCCUCUUUAAAGCCCCAACUCUGAGCGCUUUCCGGGCAGCUCUUGACUCGAACUCCAUUGCGGUCCUUCACUGAUGGCAGCCAUGAUACUUGCAUCCGGGUAUUUCGAGGAGUCCCGACCAAAGCCUCCCGGAAGUGACGCGAGCGCGGAGGGAUUCGCGUUCGGCUGAGGCCCAGGAGGAAGAAAUUUUAUGUUUCCUUUAAAGAGAUUAAGACUAGCAGAGGGCAAGUGAUUUGUCAAAGAUCAUACAGCUUGUAUUGGAGUUGGUCGGACCCCUUCAGUUUGGCUGCGGAGCCUGUUUUUAAAUCUCCGUAAUACUUAAUUUUAGCAAAAUCCCAGUCUCUGGUGCUUGCAUCCUGGCAGGCCACUUCAGCAGGGACAUUCACUUUCAGCUCAGCAUUGUUGCCUAUGGAGUAGUGCCAAGUCACCAUGGUCUUUGCUGUGGAUACAGACCAAACUGUGUGCGGGGAUCACCUAAGCUAACCCAGUGUCAUGGGAUCUCACCUGAUCUCCUGUCAUUUGAGUCUGCACAUGAAGGCUUCUUGCUGACUUCGACCACAGGUUUACGGUGGGGAUUGGCACUGACUGUUGGCGCUGGGAAACGUUUUAGCUCCCGUCAGGCACUUGUAAAGUCAAGACUGUUCAGACCACUCGAGGCCUGUCAUCAUCAUCAAAUUGUUCUGGCCUUAAUAAAGGACUGACAACUAUUA
Molecule: long non-coding RNA, 956 nt
Organism: Suricata suricatta (meerkat)
Lineage: Eukaryota; Metazoa; Chordata; Mammalia; Carnivora; Herpestidae
Exons: 2
Source: RefSeq, a predicted model, not a curated record